AGAGUUUGAUCCUGGCUCAGGACGAACGCUGGCGGCAUGCCUAAUACAUGCAAGUCGAGCGGAAUGACGAGAGCUUGCUCUCUGAUUUUAGCGGCGGACGGGUGAGUAACACGUGGGCAACCUGCCCUACAGAUGGGGAUAACUCCGGGAAACCGGGGCUAAUACCGAAUAAUCAGUUUGUCCGCAUGGACAAACUCUGAAAGACGGUUUCGGCUGUCACUGUAGGAUGGGCCCGCGGCGCAUUAGCUAGUUGGUGGGGUAAUGGCCUACCAAGGCAACGAUGCGUAGCCGACCUGAGAGGGUGAUCGGCCACACUGGGACUGAGACACGGCCCAGACUCCUACGGGAGGCAGCAGUAGGGAAUCUUCCACAAUGGACGAAAGUCUGAUGGAGCAAUGCCGCGUGAGCGAAGAAGGUUUUCGGAUCGUAAAGCUCUGUUGUAAGGGAAGAACACGUACGGGAGUAACUGCCCGUGCCAUGACGGUACCUUAUUAGAAAGCCACGGCUAACUACGUGCCAGCAGCCGCGGUAAUAC
This 535-nucleotide ribosomal RNA is filed under the name uncultured Bacillus sp. RNAcentral describes it as "bacterial SSU rRNA". It matches the Rfam family "Bacterial small subunit ribosomal RNA", at positions 8 to 526 of the family's 1533-position model. Lineage: Bacteria; Bacillati; Bacillota; Bacilli; Caryophanales; Bacillaceae. The record is from RNAcentral.